ACGAACGCUGGCGGCGUGCUUAACACAUGCCAGUCGAACGGAAAGGCCCUGCUUUUGUGGGGUGCUCGAGUGGCGAACGGGUGAGUAGCACGUGAGUAACCUGCCCUUGACUUUGGGAUAACUUCAGGAAACUGGGGCUAAUACCGGAUAGGAGCUCCUGCUGCAUGGUGGGGGUUGGAAAGUUUCGGCGGUUGGGGAUGGACUCGCGGCUUAUCAGCUUGUUGGUGGGGUAGUGGCUUACCAAGGCUUUGACGGGUAGCCGGCCUGAGAGGGUGACCGGCCACAUUGGGACUGAGAUACGGCCCAGACUCCUACGGGAGGCAGCAGUGGGGAAUAUUGCACAAUGGGCGGGAGCCUGAUGCAGCAACGCCGCGUGCGGGAUGACGGCCUUCGGGUUGUAAACCGCUUUCGCCUGUGACGAAGCGUGAGUGACGGUAAUGGGUAAAGAAGCACCGGCUAACUACGUG
This 467-nucleotide ribosomal RNA is filed under the name uncultured bacterium. Its description in RNAcentral is "partial 16S ribosomal RNA". It matches the Rfam family "Bacterial small subunit ribosomal RNA", at positions 29 to 507 of the family's 1533-position model. The record is from RNAcentral.